Molecule: non-coding RNA, 894 nt
Filed under: Candidatus Enterococcus wittei
Lineage: Bacteria; Bacillati; Bacillota; Bacilli; Lactobacillales; Enterococcaceae
Description: Enterococcus sp. 10A9_DIV0425 Bacterial small subunit ribosomal RNA
Rfam family: Bacterial small subunit ribosomal RNA
Source: Rfam by way of RNAcentral
GAGUUUGAUCCUGGCUCAGGACGAACGCUGGCGGCGUGCCUAAUACAUGCAAGUCGAACGCUUCUUUUUCCACCGGAGCUUGCUCCAUCGGAAAAAGAGGAGUGGCGAACGGGUGAGUAACACGUGGGUAACCUGCCCAUCAGAAGGGGAUAACACUUGGAAACAGGUGCUAAUACCGUAUAACAAUCGAAACCGCAUGGUUUUGAUUUGAAAGGCGCUUUACGGUGCCGCUGAUGGAUGGACCCGCGGUGCAUUAGCUAGUUGGUGAGGUAACGGCUCACCAAGGCCACGAUGCAUAGCCGACCUGAGAGGGUGAUCGGCCACAUUGGGACUGAGACACGGCCCAAACUCCUACGGGAGGCAGCAGUAGGGAAUCUUCGGCAAUGGACGAAAGUCUGACCGAGCAACGCCGCGUGAGUGAAGAAGGUUUUCGGAUCGUAAAACUCUGUUGUUAGAGAAGAACAAGGAUGAGAGUAACUGUUCAUCCCUUGACGGUAUCUAACCAGAAAGCCACGGCUAACUACGUGCCAGCAGCCGCGGUAAUACGUAGGUGGCAAGCGUUGUCCGGAUUUAUUGGGCGUAAAGCGAGCGCAGGCGGUUUCUUAAGUCUGAUGUGAAAGCCCCCGGCUCAACCGGGGAGGGUCAUUGGAAACUGGGAGACUUGAGUGCAGAAGAGGAGAGUGGAAUUCCAUGUGUAGCGGUGAAAUGCGUAGAUAUAUGGAGGAACACCAGUGGCGAAGGCGGCUCUCUGGUCUGUAACUGACGCUGAGGCUCGAAAGCGUGGGGAGCAAACAGGAUUAGAUACCCUGGUAGUCCACGCCGUAAACGAUGAGUGCUAAGUGUUGGAGGGUUUCCGCCCUUCAGUGCUGCAGCUAACGCAUUAAGCACUCCGCC